Small nucleolar RNA from Phycodurus eques (leafy seadragon), 223 nucleotides. RefSeq annotates it as small nucleolar RNA U3. The transcript has a single exon. NCBI's taxonomy places the organism in Eukaryota, Metazoa, Chordata, Actinopteri, Syngnathiformes, Syngnathidae. The record is from RefSeq and is a predicted model, not a curated record.
AUGAUUGUACUUUUUUGAGAUUGUUUUUCAAGUCAUUCUUGACUUGAGAAUUGUGGUCCUUCAGAGUUCGGUUUUGCUAAGUACAAUGACAUGAACAGAUAUUCCUUCCUGAGCAUGAAGCUGGCAGUGGCGGUAAAGAAUGAUUCUUUUGCGUGUUCUUUACCACUGAUGAAGGUUUGCUACUUCGUAUUGGAGCUUUGAUGGAAGGAAUACAUUCAGAGUA